AGGCCUCUUCAGGCUAGGCUAGGCUUCUCUAGGCCUCUUCAGGCUAGGCUAGGUCAGGCUUCUCUAGGCUAGGUCAGGCUUCUCUAGGCCUCUUCAGGCUAGGCUAGGUCAGGCUUGUCUAGGCCUCUUGAUGCUAGGUUAGACUUCUCUAGAUCCCCUGCUAGGUCUUCGCCAAAGCCCGCCCGUUACACCUGAGGUUUAAUUAUGCGUUAAGUCGAACUAAAAGGUCUCCAAUCCCUCGGAGACCAUGACAAGGUCGUGAUGAAAUAAAAAAAACACUAGGUUGUGAGAGUUUGUCGCUUAUGUAAAAAAAUGUACUUGGGUUGCCCGCAGGGGGCCCGGCCUAGUGAGGCCUUGCAAGGCUCCUGUAGGCCUCACAAGGCCUCGCUAAGCCUCGCUAGGUCUCACUAGGCCUAGUUUGGCCUAUCUAGGCCUCGUAAGGCCUAAACUAGGUCUCACUAGGCCUAGUUUGGCCUAUCUAAGCCUCACGAGGCCUAAGCAAGGCCUCGCUAGGCCUAAACUAGGUCUCGCUAGGCCUAGUUUGGCCUAUCUAGGCCUCACGAGGCCUAAAUUAGGCCUCGAUAGGUCUCGCUAGGCCUAGUUUGGCCUAUCUAGGCCUCACAAGGCCUAAAGUAGGCCUCGCUAGGUCUAAACAAGGCCUCGCUAGGCCUACUUUGGCCUAUCUGGGCCUCGCAAGGCCUUGCUUAGGCCUUACGAGGCCUAGAUAGGCCAAACUAGGCACAGUGAGACCUAGCAAGGCCUAAGCAAGGCCUCGCAAGGCCUUGCUUAGGCCUCGCGAAUAGGCCAAACUAGGCCUAGUGAGACCUAGCAAGGCCUAAGCAAGGCCUUGCUUAGGCCUCGCGAGGCCUAGAUAGGCCAAACUAGGCCUAGUGAGACCUAGCGAAGGCCUUGCUUAGGCCUCGCGAGGCCUAGAUAGGCCAAACUAGGCCUAGUGAGACCUAGCGAGGCCUAAGCAAGGCCUAAGCAAGGCGUUGCUUAGGCCUCGCGAGGCCUAGAUAGGCCAAACUAGGCCUAGUGAGACCUAGCGAGGCCUUGCUUAGGCCUCGCUAGGUCACCAAUGAAACGGCAUGAACUUUGACUUUUGAUUUAAAGCUUUCGUGACUGCAGAGAUUCCUAUUCUCGGUUCUUUCGGCAAAAAGUCGCCGCCACCACGUUAGAAGAAGGGAAACAAUAAAAUAACAAAUAAAAAAAAUAUAAAACGAUAAAUUAGUUUAAAAAAAAACAAUAAAAAACAUUAAAAUAUUUUAUUGGUUUAUAUUUUUAUUUUAUUUUUUAUUUUAUUGUUUCCCUUCUUCUAACGUGGCGGUGACUUUAGCGAAAAGCAUCUCGAUGAAGAAGAAUACCGGCGUCGGAUUUUGCGUUGAACCGGGGCGGGGUUUUUGCACUGAAAUAUGAUCACCGCUGUAGAUGCACCUCGCUACUAUAUAUAGAGAGAGGCAUAUAUAUAGAUAAGAGAUAUACAUAACUCACUGAGAUACACACACAGAGAUACACACACUGGUAUAUAUAUAGAGAGACAUAUAUAGAUAAGAGAUAUACACAACUCACUGAGAUACACACACAGAGAUACACACACUGGUAUAUAUAUAGAGACAUAUAUAUAGAUAAGAGAUAUACAUAACUCUGGCAUACUGAGAUACACACACAGAGAUACACACACACACUGGUAUAUAUAUAGAGAGACAUAUAGAGAUAAGAGAUAUACACAACUCACAUACUGAGAUACACUGAGAUACACACACUGGUAUAUAUAGACAUAUAUAGAUAAGAGAUAUACAUAACUCACACUGGUAUACUGAGAUACACACACAGAGAUACACACACAGAGAUACACACACAGACACACGCUGGUAUAUAUAGAGACAUAUAGAGAUAAGAGAUAUACACAACUCACAUACUGAGAUACACACACAGAGAUACACACACAGAGACACACACACUGGUAUAUAUAGAGAGACAUAUAUAUAGAUAAGAGAUAUACAUAGCUCACACUGAGAUACUGAGAUACACACACAGAGAUACACACACACACAGACACACACUGGUAUAUAUAUAGAUAUAUAGAUAAGAGAUAUACAUAGCUCACACUGAGAUACUGAGAUACACACACAGAGAUACACACACACAGACACACACUGGUAUAUAUAGAGACAUAUAUAGAGAUAAGAGAUAUACAUAGCUCACACUGGUAUACUGAGAUACACACACAGAGAUACACACAGAGAUACACACACAGAGACACACACACAGGUAUAUAUAGAGAGAUAUAUAUAGAUAAGAGAUAUACAUAACUCACACUGGUAUACUGAGAUACACACACAGAGAUACACACACAGACACACGCUGGUAUAUAUAUAGAGACAUAUAGAGAUAAGAGAUAUACACAACUCACACUGAGAUACACACACAGACACGUAUAUAUAUAGAGAGACAUAUAUAUAGAUAAGAGAUAUACAUAGCUCACACUGAGAUACACACACAGAGAUACACACACAGACACACACUGGUAUAUAUAGAGACAUAUAGAGAUAAGAGAUAUACAUAACUCUGGCAUACUGAGAUACACACACACACUGGUAUAUAUAUAGACAUAUAGAGAUAAGAGAUAUACACAACUCACACUGAGAUACACACACAGAGAUACACACAGAGAUACACACACUGGUGUAUAUAUAUAGAGAGACAUAUAUAUAGAUAAGAGAUAUACAUAACUCUGGCAUACUGAGAUACACACACAGAGAUACACAUACACACACUGAUAUAUAUAGAGACAUAUAUAUAGAUAAGAGAUAUACAUAACUCACACUGGUAUACUGAGAUACACACACAGAGAUACACACACAGAGAUACACACACAUGCUGGUAUAUAUAGAGAGACAUAUAGAGAUAGAUAUAGACAACUCACAUACUGAGAUACACACACACUGGUAUAUAUAGAGAGAGACAGAGAUAAGAGAUAUACACAACUCAUACUGAGAUACACACAGAGAUACACACACACUGGUAUAUAUAUAGAGACAUAUAGAGAUAAGAGAUAUACACAACUCAUACUGAGAUACACACAGAGAUACACAUACACUGGUAUAUAUAUAGAGACAUAUAGAGAUAAGAGAUAUACACAACUCAUACUGAGAUACACACAGAGAUACACACACAUGCUGGUAUAUAUAGAGAGACAUAUAGAGAUAGAUAUAGACAACUCACAUACUGAGAUACACACACACUGGUAUAUAUAGAGAGAGACAGAGAUAAGAGAUAUACACAACUCAUACUGAGAUACACACAGAGAUACACACACACUGGUAUAUAUAUAGAGACAUAUAGAGAUAAGAGAUAUACACAACUCAUACUGAGAUACACACAGAGAUACACACACACAGACACACACUGGUAUAUAUAUAGAGAGACAUAUAGAGAUAAGAGAUAUACAUAACUCACACUGAGAUACACACACAGAGAUACACACACAGAGAUACACACACAGACACACUGGUAUAUAUAGAGACACAUAGAGAUAAGAGAUAUACACAACUCUGGCAUACUGAGAUACACACAGAGAUACACACACGCUGGUAUAUAUAUAGAGAUGUACAUACAGAUACUUCCACACGGUAUAUAGAGAUGCAUACACUGGUAUCCAGAGAGAGUUGUACACAGACACUAGGUGUAUCUGUGUGUGUGUGUCUGAGCCAAGCUUUAUCUUGCUUGUGUUGUGUUAUUAAUCAGCCGUUCAUUAUGCUAUUGCCAAUAAAGUUACACAAAUACAAA
Molecule: non-coding RNA, 3789 nt
Organism: Petromyzon marinus (sea lamprey)
Lineage: Eukaryota; Metazoa; Chordata; Hyperoartia; Petromyzontiformes; Petromyzontidae
Source: RefSeq, a predicted model, not a curated record